GACUAAUUGAAACAUUCCACUGAUAUGAGCUGAAAUGAAUUUUCACAAUACGAACAGCUUCACGAGCAACCAUAAGAGCAAUGAGCUUCUGCAGAAACAUGACAUAUUGUUAUCAGCAGAAUAGUGAAUAUUUGUCAAGGUUGUCCAAAUUCGGUCCUGGAGGGCCUGUGACUUGCAGCGGCCCUAGCUCCAACUUGCCUGGAAGUUUCUAGUAUGCCUGAUAAAAACUGAAAGAGUUGUCGGAAGCUUAGUGAUGGUGACAUUGAAGUUGUGGGACCGUUCAUUUUGAUUUCAUGGUGACUUUAAAGAUGUGGCUGAAUUUGGUUUUGUGACUAGAAAGUGAACAUCCCAGUUCAUAACAGCUUCAGCUAUGACCUUGCUACUUCACAUACUAUUUUCUUAACAGAUUUACUCAAAAGAACAAAGAGAAGUGUUCAGAAAAUGUAGUCAAAACAGAUUAUCAAUCUACUCAUCUGAGCACAAAUCUCAUAACGACUGUGCAUUGUGUAUGGGGCAGAAACAGAUGUGCGGACUGAAGCAGGAAAUGGCCAGUGAGGAGGCAACAAGGACACACAGUAGCUGCAUGAGGGACGCUGGGCUGCUUGGCUUGGCUGGGAUUGACACGUGUCAAUGUAAUUUCCACAGCAGGGCAAAGAGUGAGCUUUCUGAUUAAAUGAACACGGUUUCCUGGUAGCCCAUGACACGACUGCAGUCAUUUCAUAACUAAAAGUGCCCAUAUCAGUUUUCAGAACAAAGCCAUGUUGCCAAGUACUGUUAAAUAAUGUUGCUUGUUCACUAAUUCCUUCUACAUAGAGAUCACCAGCGCUGUUUGAUUAUGGACCCUUUUUACUGAAUGUGAUGCCGCAUUUCCACAGUUAUCAACAUUGCAAAUUCAUAAAGUUUUUCAUAUUUUAAUUUGUAAAAAACAUUUAUAAUGCUAUAUAUUAUCUUGUCAUUAAAUUACAAAAAAAACGUGUUUCUGUGGAGUGAGUGAUGGCAAGGGAGUGAGGGAGUGAUGGCAAUUUCUCCCUGAUAAAAUAUUUUAGAGCUUGGAAUUACUAGUAAAAUGUAUAUUCAUAAAAAUAUUUAAAAAUGCCCAUGUGGGUUUAGGUUUUUAUUCAUUUACAUUACUUUUCCAGGUCUAUAAAUCAUACUUGAAAAUUAGGCUUUCUGAUAUCCAGGAUUUCCAAGACUGUGAGAGCCCAGAAAAGAAAGGGAGUAUAUCUUGAUAUAUAGUUGUUUUAGAUUAUUUUAAUGUUGUUCGUAUUUUAAAGCAUUUUAAGUAAUCUUAAAGUUUUGCUGAGGCCUCUCUUUGAGAAGUGGACUAAAAGACAAUCCUGGACCUUUGCUGGCCCACACAGGUAAUUCCUAUCCAUUAUACCAUUACUAUACCAUUAUACUAUAGUGUAUGUAUAUAUUUUGAUGGACUGUAUUAUAACAAUCAUGACUGUUUAAGUGGUCAAAGUCUAUGAAUCUUGUAAUCAGAGACUUUGAGGAGUUCAAAUAGGUGAUUCAAGUGAAAAUUUCAGUAAAGUCAAAGGGUAAAUCUGAUUGUGUUUAUUUGAUGAUUUUAGUAACUUAAUUAACUUGACCUGUGUUGUCAGCCUCAUGCAGGUGACUCAUGUACAGACUGAAGUGGGAUUGGCAUAGCACAGGAAGCUGCUCGGAAACAGUUACCUGCUGGAACAUCAUUAAUUUUCAUCGAGCGGGAUGAGUGAUUAGGCACAAUCUUUUGAAACUGCCGUGGAUGAACGAUAUUGGGGCCGCACCUAGAAUUCUAAAGGCCAGGAUCCACCACUUUGUUUUAUAUUGGGACAUACUGACAAUAUAUUUUUAACACUUUACAUGUUUGUAGGUUCGUAUAUUUGAAGAUUUAAAAAAAAAGAAAUACUCUGAACCCUAUAGAUUUACACAAACUGAGAAAGUCAAAAAGCAUUAAGUUGUUCCUCGCUCUCCCUCCUAUUUCUGUGGUUGUGUUUCCAUUAGGGACACUGACAUUGCUGUUUCUGUUAAGUUCAACAAGAAUUGCAGCAAUUAUCAAACAAGACAAUUAGAAUGAGUCUUGAUUGGAAACAUAGUUUUAGUUAUUACCCAUUAAAUCAAAAAUACCAUUUCACAUGAAAGGCUCUAUAUUAGCUUGGAACACAGCUCAGGACUUUGUCACAGCCUCAAGCCUUAGAUCCAGCAGGCCAGAGAGAGUGUAAAUGAGAAGCAGUGGACAGCUGUACAUUGACCCUGAGAAAAUAUAGUCACUCUAAAAUGGUGUCAUAUGAAAUCAGUCUUCAAUUGUCAGACUGAAAAAUGGAGAGAUGUGUCUGAACGGGUUUGUGUGUGCGUAUCCAUGUUACAUAGAAAAGCCACUUACCCUCUCGUGUGAGUGUGGCCGGCUGUUCAGGGGCCGGAUUUAAAUUUGUAGCCAUUGGGUGCACUCUGAAGUUGCCUGAGAAAAUUAGAUGUCAUAUUAGUCUACACUUGGUCUCAUCACAAAAGCAAAUAAAUCUCAUGUUACACAACAUAAUCGAGAUCGCCUCUUUAGUGAAAUUUUAUACAGCAUUUAAAUAGGCACCACAGUUGUGCGCCAUUCAGAAUUGAAUUGAGAAGAAUUUUUAAGUUGAGGUAGCAAACAGGAUGCAUUUGAAUUUAAAGGCAUGAAACAGAUGUUGUGAUGGUCUUUUCUUUCCUAUUGUGAUGUAUAUCCAAGUGAAACAGCUUCUCAAAAAUGAAAAAAUGUGCGGCGGGACUUGAUUUUGUUCAUCAGGAAUUGAUUGGAUGGUUGUGGUUUGCUAUUGCUGUGAUCUCAUUUGAGUGACAGGUUGUCCCGCCCUCACUCAAGAAUGCCACUGGAAGAGGAAAGGGACGGUUCUUUGAUUAAAGAUUAAGAUGGCACAUGAUAGAAAUAAUGAUGUGUACCGAUAAAUCAUUUAUAAUAAAUACUGCAAUAUUGCAUAAAAAAUAACAGGGAUAUUCAUAUAACUGCAAAACAUGUAAUAAUAAUAGCUAGAAAGAGAAAUUUUAGUUUACAGAUGUUUAAUAAGUUGUUGUUUGAAGGUUUUAUUAGACUGUAAACCCUAACACUCAAAUAGAUAAUUGGUUUGAGUAGUACAAACUUAAAUUAAACACAUUUGUUCAGUCAAAUUAACUUUUAUGAGUAGUUUGGAUAGUUACCAUCAUGGUAAUGCAACUUGGUUUGAGAACAGGUAUAUUAAAUGUUUUAUAUUGCUGUACUCAUUAAGCAAGUGUUAUACCAUGCUAUUGCUAACAUGCUAGCAAAUUAGCAUUUUCUGAAUUAGCUUGUUAUAGCUAGCUAAGUUUCCACUAAUAAAAAUAUUUGUUGAGAUCACAUGAUAAUUUUAAGUUAAUGUAUUAAUUAAUGUACUCAAAUAUUUCAAUUUAAUAACAAUUAAAAUGUAUGAGUAUAAAAUAAAAAUCUGCCAGUUCUGCUUAUAUGCUGUUAGGAGUCCAUAACAGUGUUAAACAUGUCACUUUCUGUUGCCAGCAGGUGGCGUUAUGACUAUAACUGAAUAUGUGCAUGGACAUGUGUUCAGGACAGGACUUUUAUCAAGUGUAUGAAGUUUGGGGCAGAUCGGACAUUGUUUGCCUUAGUUACAGCAACUUCCUGUUUCAUGGCGAAACAUCAAAUUUGUAGAAAAAUGGACAUGCCCUUUUACGAAAACUCAAGAUCUUCGCAAUUUAGCACAAUUUAGCAUCGCACAAGCCUUUUGAUUACACAAACCAAAUUUGAAGAUGAUCGGAUUAAAACUGUAGGAGGAGUUCGGUAAAGUAUGAGGCAUGAAAAUGGCCAAAACUGCACAAAAAUCGCACAGGAAAUUCAAAAUGGCUGACUUCCUGUUGCGUUUAGGACUUUGCUCCAAGAGACUUUUUUGUAGGUAAUGGGAUGUUACAUGUACGCACUGAAUUUCGUACAUGUUUAAAUCUCUUAAAUUUUUUAAUGUAACCGAUUGCCUC
Long non-coding RNA from Megalobrama amblycephala (Wuchang bream), 3966 nucleotides. RefSeq lists it as uncharacterized. The transcript is spliced from 6 exons. The record is from RefSeq and is a predicted model, not a curated record. Lineage: Eukaryota; Metazoa; Chordata; Actinopteri; Cypriniformes; Xenocyprididae.